Molecule: ribosomal RNA, 253 nt
Filed under: uncultured bacterium
Lineage: Bacteria
Description: partial 16S ribosomal RNA
Rfam family: Bacterial small subunit ribosomal RNA
Source: RNAcentral
UACAGAGGGGGCAAGCGUUGUCCGGAUUUACUGGGCGUACAGCGCGCGCAGGCGGCCUCGUAUGUGACCGGUGACAUCCUCGGGCUCAACCCGAGGCGGCCCGGUUAGACAGCGGAGCUGGAGGCAGGGAGAGGGAUGUGGAAUACCCGGUGGAACGGUGAAAUGCGUAGAGAUCGGGUGGAACACCAGCGGCGAAGGCGGCAUCCUGGCCCUGACCUGACGCUGAGGCGCGAUAGCGUGGGGAGCAAACGGG